RNA transcript from Cebus imitator (Panamanian white-faced capuchin), 317 nucleotides. It is a transcript of the gene named ATP synthase subunit ATP5MPL, mitochondrial-like, with no coding region annotated. Lineage: Eukaryota; Metazoa; Chordata; Mammalia; Primates; Cebidae. The transcript has a single exon. The record is from RefSeq and is a predicted model, not a curated record.
AUGCUUCAAAGAAUUAUUAAAAAUAUAUGGCUCCCCAUGAAGCCCACUAUACCCAAGUUUACCAGGAGAUUUGGGUAGGAAGGGGGCUCAUGGGCUUCAUCAUUUAUAAAAUCCCGGCCGCUGAUAAAAGAAGUAAGGCUGCAAAAGCUUCAGCUGCUGCUCAUGGUCCUCACUAACCAGCUUUACUUGGAGUACAUGUGAAAGAAAACGUCAGUCUGCCUGUAAAUUUGAGCAAGCUGCGUUAGACGGGGAGCGUGGAACAUCACUGUACACUUCAACCGUUUACUUCAUGGCAUGAAUGAAUGCAUCUGUGAGAU